CAUGGGACUUUAAAGAUGGACGCCCCUCCAGAGAGGAGAGACACCAGAUGACGUCAAAGGUUCCAAGUGCUCAGUCUCUACAGCAACAUCAAACAGAGCUGAUCAAGAGGGCUGAGGAGAACGCACACACUUUUCUAGACAAGGAG
Long non-coding RNA from Gadus morhua (Atlantic cod), 146 nucleotides. RefSeq lists it as uncharacterized. NCBI's taxonomy places the organism in Eukaryota, Metazoa, Chordata, Actinopteri, Gadiformes, Gadidae. The transcript is spliced from 3 exons. The record is from RefSeq and is a predicted model, not a curated record.